Molecule: ribosomal RNA, 511 nt
Filed under: Escherichia coli
Lineage: Bacteria; Pseudomonadati; Pseudomonadota; Gammaproteobacteria; Enterobacterales; Enterobacteriaceae
Description: partial 23S ribosomal RNA
Rfam family: Bacterial large subunit ribosomal RNA
Source: RNAcentral
UCUUAACUGGGCGUUAAGUUGCAGGGUAUAGACCCGAAACCCGGUGAUCUAGCCAUGGGCAGGUUGAAGGUUGGGUAACACUAACUGGAGGACCGAACCGACUAAUGUUGAAAAAUUAGCGGAUGACUUGUGGCUGGGGGUGAAAGGCCAAUCAAACCGGGAGAUAGCUGGUUCUCCCCGAAAGCUAUUUAGGUAGCGCCUCGUGAAUUCAUCUCCGGGGGUAGAGCACUGUUUCGGCAAGGGGGUCAUCCCGACUUACCAACCCGAUGCAAACUGCGAAUACCGGAGAAUGUUAUCACGGGAGACACACGGCGGGUGCUAACGUCCGUCGUGAAGAGGGAAACAACCCAGACCGCCAGCUAAGGUCCCAAAGUCAUGGUUAAGUGGGAAACGAUGUGGGAAGGCCCAGACAGCCAGGAUGUUGGCUUAGAAGCAGCCAUCAUUUAAAGAAAGCGUAAUAGCUCACUGGUCGAGUCGGCCUGCGCGGAAGAUGUAACGGGGCUAAACCAUG